AUUGAACGCUGGCGGCAUGCCUUACACAUGCAAGUCGAACGGCAGCACGGGUGCUUGCACCUGGUGGCGAGUGGCGAACGGGUGAGUAAUACAUCGGAACAUGUCCUGUAGUGGGGGAUAGCCCGGCGAAAGCCGGAUUAAUACCGCAUACGAUCUACGGAUGAAAGCGGGGGACCUUCAGGCCUCGCGCUAUAGGGUUGGCCGAUGGCUGAUUAGCUAGUUGGUGGGGUAAAGGCCUACCAAGGCGACGAUCAGUAGCUGGUCUGAGAGGACGACCAGCCACACUGGGACUGAGACACGGCCCAGACUCCUACGGGAGGCAGCAGUGGGGAAUUUUGGACAAAGGGCGAAAGCCUGAUCCAGCAAUGCCGCGUGUGUGAAGAAGGCCUUCGGGUUGUAAAGCACUUUUGUCCGGAAAGAAAUCCUUGGCCCUAAUACGGUCGGGGGAUGACGGUACCGGAAGAAUAAGCACCGGCUAACUACGUG
Molecule: ribosomal RNA, 486 nt
Filed under: uncultured bacterium
Lineage: Bacteria
Description: partial 16S ribosomal RNA
Rfam family: Bacterial small subunit ribosomal RNA
Source: RNAcentral